RNAcentral lists this ribosomal RNA (714 nucleotides) under uncultured Planctomycetota bacterium. Its description in RNAcentral is "bacterial SSU rRNA". It matches the Rfam family "Bacterial small subunit ribosomal RNA", at positions 96 to 806 of the family's 1533-position model. The record is from RNAcentral. Lineage: Bacteria; Pseudomonadati; Planctomycetota.
CGGCAACGGGGUAGUUAGGCGCAGGUACGUACCCUCAGGUUGGGGAUAGCCAUGGGAAACCGUGGGUAAUACCCAAUGAUCCGCCGUGUUGUAAUGACGUGGCGGCAAAGGUGUGAUUCCGCCGGAGGAGCGGUCUGCGUGGUAUUAGCUUGUUGGUGAGGUAAUGGCUCACCAAGGCGAAGAUGCCUAGGGGGUGUGAGAGCAUGGCCCCCACCACUGGGACUGAGACACUGCCCAGACACCUACGGGUGGCUGCAGUCGAGAAUCUUUGGCAAUGCACGCAAGUGUGACCAAGCGACGCCGAGUGCUGGAUGAAGGCCUUCGGGUUGUAAACAGCUGUCAGAGGGGAUGAAAUUGUUGGGGGCUAUCCCCCUUCAUUGACAGAGCCUCAGAGGAAGCACGGGCUAAGUUCGUGCCAGCAGCCGCGGUAAUACGAACUGUGCGAACGUUAUUCGGAAUCACUGGGCUUAAAGGGUGCGUAGGCGGCCUGUUAAGUAGGGUGUGAAAUUUGUCGGCUCAACCGGCAAACUGCAUUCUAAACUGGCAGGCUUGAGUGAGUCAGGGGUGUGCGGAACUUCCGGUGGAGCGGUGAAAUGCGUUGAUAUCGGAAGGAACGCCGGUGGCGAAAGCGGCACACUGGGGCUUUUCUGACGCUGAGGCACGAAAGCUAGGGGAGCGAACAGGAUUAGAUACCCUGGUAGUCCUAGCUGUAAA